RNAcentral lists this ribosomal RNA (460 nucleotides) under uncultured bacterium. RNAcentral's name for it is "partial 16S ribosomal RNA". It matches the Rfam family "Bacterial small subunit ribosomal RNA", at positions 338 to 795 of the family's 1533-position model. The record is from RNAcentral.
CCUACGGGCGGCAGCAGUGAGGAAUAUUGGUCAAUGGCCGGAAGGCUGAACCAGCCAUGCCGCGUGAAGGUCAGUGCCCUAUGGGCGUUAAACUUCUUUUGUGCGGGAGCAAUAAUGGUCACGUGUGGCCAGACGAGAGUACCGUACGAAUAAGCAUCGGCUAACUCCGUGCCAGCAGCCGCGGUAAUACGGGGGAUGCAAGCGUUAUCCGGAUUUAUUGGGUUUAAAGGGUGCGUGGGCUGUGAGGUAAGUCAGCGGUGAAAUGCCCCCGCUCAACGGGGUGAAGUGCCAUUGAUACUGCCUGGCUUGAAUGCGGAUGCCGUGGGAGGAAUGUGUGGUGUAGCGGUGAAAUGCAUAGAUAUCACACAGAACACCGAUUGCGAAGGCAUCUCACGAAUCCGCGAUUGACGCUGAUGCACGAAAGCGUGGGUAUCAAACAGGAUUAGAUACCCCAGUAGUC